RNAcentral lists this ribosomal RNA (1402 nucleotides) under metagenome. Its description in RNAcentral is "bacterial SSU rRNA". It matches the Rfam family "Bacterial small subunit ribosomal RNA". The record is from RNAcentral.
UACUGGUGGCGACCGGCGCACGGGUGCGUAACGCGUAUGCAACCUUUCUCUAACAGGGAAAUAGCCCGUCGAAAGACGGAUUAACGUCCCAUAACAUUCGGUUUUGCAUAAAGCUGAAUUAAAAUCUGCGGAGGUUAGAGGUGGGCAUGCGUACCAUUAGCUAGUUGGUAGGGUAACGGCUUACCAAGGCAACGAUGGUUAGGGGUUCUAAAAGGAUGAUCCCCCACACUGGUACUGAGACACGGACCUGACUCCUACGGGAGGCAGCAGUGAGGAAUAUUGGACAAUGGGUGCAAGCCUGAUCCAGCCAUGCCGCGUGCAGGACGAAGGCGCUAUGCGUUGUAAACUGCUUUCGAACCGGAGAAAACCCCUCCACGUGUGGAGGGUUGAUAGUACGGUAAGAAUAAGCAUCGGCUAACUCCGUGCCAGCAGCCGCGGUAAUACGGAGGAUGCAAGCGUUAUCCGGAUUUAUUAGGUUUAAAGGGUGCGUAGGCGGUUUGCUAAGUCAGUGGUGAAAUACCGACGCUCAACGUCGGGGCUGCCAUAGAAACUGGUGAACUUAAAUUGAGAUGAAGUAUUCGGAAUGUGUGGUGUAGCGGUGAAAUGCAUAGAUAUCACACAGAACACCGAUUGCGAAGGCAGGAUACUAAACUUCGAUUGACGCUGAGGCACGAAAGCGUGGGGAUCAAACAGGAUUAGAUACCCUGGUAGUCCACGCUGUAAACGAUGAUCACUCGCUGUCGGCGAUACACAGUCGGUGGCCAAGCGAAAGCGAUAAGUGAUCCACCUGGGGAGUACGGCGGCAACGCUGAAACUCAAAGGAAUUGACGGGGGCCCGCACAAGCGGAGGAACAUGUGGUUUAAUUCGAUGAUACGCGAGGAACCUUACCCGGGCUUGAAAGUUAGUGAAUGAUGGUGAAAGCUGUCAGCCAGCAAUGGCACGAAACUAGGUGCUGCAUGGCUGUCGUCAGCUCGUGCCGUGAGGUGUCGGGUUAAGUCCCAUAACGAGCGCAACCCUUAUCAAUAGUUGCUAGCAGGUCAAGCUGAGGACUCUAUUGAGACUGCCGGCGUAAGCCGUGAGGAAGGUGGGGAUGACGUCAAGUCAGCACGGCCCUUACGUCCGGGGCUACACACGUGUUACAAUGGUAGAUACAGAGGGCAGCCACUGCGUGAGCAGGAGCUAAUCCUAAAAGUCUAUCACAGUUCGGAUUGAAGUCUGCAACUCGACUUCAUGAAGCUGGAUUCGCUAGUAAUCGCGCAUCAGCAAUGGCGCGGUGAAUACGUUCCCGGGCCUUGUACACACCGCCCGUCAAGCCAUGGGAGCCGGGGGUACCUGAAGUACGUGACCGCAAGGAGCGUCCUAGGGUAAAACUGGUGACUGGGGCUAAGUCGUAACAAGGUA